RNAcentral lists this ribosomal RNA (465 nucleotides) under uncultured bacterium. RNAcentral describes it as "partial 16S ribosomal RNA". It matches the Rfam family "Bacterial small subunit ribosomal RNA", at positions 28 to 507 of the family's 1533-position model. The record is from RNAcentral.
GACGAACGCUGGCGGCGUGCUUAACACAUGCAAGUCGUACGGUAAGGCCCUUUCGGCGGUCCACGAGCGGCGAACGGGUGAGUAACACGUGAGUAACCUGCCCACAACUUUGGGAUAACGCUAGGAAACUGGUGCUAAUACUGGAUAUGUGCUCCUGCUGCAUGGUGGGGGUUGGAAAGCUCCGGCGGUUGUGGAUGGACUCGCGGCCUAUCAGCUUGUUGGUGGGGUAGUGGCCUACCAAGGCGGCGACGGGUAGCCGGCCUGAGAGGGUGACCGGCCACAUUGGGACUGAGAUACGGCCCAGACUCCUACGGGAGGCAGCAGUGGGGAAUAUUGCACAAUGGGCGCAAGCCUGAUGCAGCAACGCCGCGUGCGGGAUGACGGCCUUCGGGUUGUAAACCGCUUUCAGCAGGGACGAAGCUUUUUGUGACGGUACCUGCAGAAGAAGCACCGGCUAACUACGUG